UUGAAAGAGGUUGGUGUUGUUGAAGGAGAGGGUAAGGAGCGUAGAUAUUGGAAGAAGGAGAGGGCAAUUUUGGAAUUGUGACGGAGACGGAGGAGGGUUUGGUGGAUGAGGUUGGGAGUGAGGGAGAUGCCGUUGAGUUGGAGAGAUGAUUCCAUGAAGUGGAAUGGGUUGUGAUUUGUUAUUAACAUUUGGGAGAUUAGUUCGGCGUCGGAGGAAGGUUCGAGUUUUGGGAGGUUGAGAGUGAAUCCGGCGGAGAUGAUGGUGGAGAUACGGCGGCGGAGUUGGUGGAGAUGGAACGGUGGUGAGAUUUGCUUCAGUAGCAGCAUUUUGCCGUUUCUCUUGCAGCCACAAUCUCAAUAUAACUAGAAAAGAGAAAAGAAGAGAAAUGAGUUAUAGAGAAGACGGAGAAGGUCGGCGAG
Molecule: long non-coding RNA, 419 nt
Organism: Arabidopsis thaliana (thale cress)
Lineage: Eukaryota; Viridiplantae; Streptophyta; Magnoliopsida; Brassicales; Brassicaceae
Product: other RNA
Exons: 1
Source: RefSeq